CACAAGCAGCGGAGCGUGUGGUUUAAUUCGAUGCUACACGAAGAACCUUACCGGGUUUGACAUGCAAGUGGUAGUGAUCCGAAAGGUGAACGACCCGCAAGGGAGCUUGCACAGGUGUUGCAUGGCUGUCGUCAGCUUGUGUCGUGAGAUGUUCGGUUAAGUCCGCUAACGAGCGCAACCCUCGCUGUAUGUUACAUGUGCAUACAGGACCGCCGGUAUCAAGCCGGAGGAAGGUGGGGAUGACGUCAAGUCCGCAUGGCCUUUAUGUCCGGGGCUACACACACGCUACAAUGGUCGGUACAAUGGGUUGCUAAGCCGCGAGGUGGAGCCAAUCCCCCAAAGCCGGCCUCAGUUCAGAUUGCAGGCUGCAACUCGCCUGCAUGAAGCUGGAGUUGCUAGUAAACGCGCGUCAGCUAUAGUGCGUUGAAUACGUUCUCGGGCCUU
This 444-nucleotide ribosomal RNA is filed under the name uncultured Anaerolineaceae bacterium. RNAcentral describes it as "bacterial SSU rRNA". It matches the Rfam family "Bacterial small subunit ribosomal RNA", at positions 924 to 1382 of the family's 1533-position model. The record is from RNAcentral. Lineage: Bacteria; Bacillati; Chloroflexota; Anaerolineae; Anaerolineales; Anaerolineaceae.